CCUACGGGGGGCAGCAGUAGGGAAUCUUCCACAAUGGACGAAAGUCUGAUUGAGCAACGCCGCGUGAGUGAAGAAGGGUUUCGGCUCGUAAAGCUCUGUUGGUAGUGAAGAAAGAUAGAGGUAGUAACUGGCCUUUAUUUGACGGUAAUUACUUAGAAAGUCACGGCUAACUCCGUGCCAGCAGCCGCGGUAAUCCGUAGGUGGCAAGCGUUGACCGGAUUUAUUGGGCGUAAAGCGAGUGCAGGUGGUUCAAGAAGUCUGAUGUGAAAGCCGUCGGCUCAACCGGAGAAUUGCAUCAGAAACUGGUGGACUUGAGUGCAGAAGAGGAGAGUGGAACUCCAGGUGUAGCGGUGGAAUGCGUAGAUAUAUGGAAGAACACCAGUGGCGAAGGCGGCUCUCUGGUCUGCAACUGACGCUGAGGCUCGAAAGCAUGGGUAGCGAACAGGAUUAGAUACCCUUGUAGUC
RNAcentral lists this ribosomal RNA (465 nucleotides) under uncultured bacterium. Its description in RNAcentral is "partial 16S ribosomal RNA". It matches the Rfam family "Bacterial small subunit ribosomal RNA", at positions 338 to 795 of the family's 1533-position model. The record is from RNAcentral.